CCUACGGGUGGCAGCAGUGGGGAAUAUUGGACAAUGGGGGGAACCCUGAUCCAGCCAUGCCGCGUGUGUGAAGAAGGCCCUCGGGUUGUAAAGCACUUUCAGUGAGGAAGAACGCCUGGUGGUUAAUACCCAUCAGGAAAGACAUCACUCACAGAAGAAGCACCGGCUAACUCCGUGCCAGCAGCCGCGGUAAUACGGAGGGUGCGAGCGUUAAUCGGAAUUACUGGGCGUAAAGCGCGCGUAGGUGGCUUGAUAAGCCGGUUGUGAAAGCCCCGGGCUCAACCUGGGACCGGCAUCCGGAACUGUCAAGCUAGAGUGCAGGAGAGGAAGGUAGAAUUCCCGGUGUAGCGGUGAAAUGCGUAGAGAUCGGGAGGAAUACCAGUGGCGAAGGCGGCCUUCUGGACUGACACUGACACUGAGGUGCGAAAGCGUGGGUAGCAAACAGGAUUAGAUACCCCAGUAGUC
Molecule: ribosomal RNA, 465 nt
Filed under: Vreelandella stevensii
Lineage: Bacteria; Pseudomonadati; Pseudomonadota; Gammaproteobacteria; Oceanospirillales; Halomonadaceae
Description: partial 16S ribosomal RNA
Rfam family: Bacterial small subunit ribosomal RNA
Source: RNAcentral